GGCCUCCUUUCAGCCUUCUGCAAGAACCGGACUCCAUCCGAACCUCCACAGCGGAUGGAUUUCGGACGAGCUUCUAUAACAGAUGGACUCCAACAGCUGGAUUUCUACAACGGUCGAUCACCUCCAGUGUCUGUCGAACCUCUCCAGCUAUCAGCCUUCAAUAGCGUCAGCCAAACUUCCACAAUGCCAUCCAGACUUCCACAG
This 204-nucleotide long non-coding RNA is filed under the name Elaeis guineensis (African oil palm). RNAcentral describes it as "long non-coding RNA (EGUI_LNC034355)". The record is from RNAcentral. Lineage: Eukaryota; Viridiplantae; Streptophyta; Magnoliopsida; Arecales; Arecaceae.